This is a non-coding RNA of Drosophila melanogaster (fruit fly), 150 nucleotides long. The record is from Ensembl. Lineage: Eukaryota; Metazoa; Arthropoda; Insecta; Diptera; Drosophilidae.
UUUUCGUACGUACAAAAAAGCAUCAGGUUUUCGGGUGAGGUUUCUGAUGCUUUGUCUCUUAAGUUUUUCCUAACAAUUAAACCCUAUGUCGGUAUUACGAAUACCAUCAAAAAACCUCACCCACCAAAUGUAUGACCAGAGAGAUAAAAA